UACGAGGGGGGCAAGUGUUGUUCGGAAUUACUGGGCGUAAAGGGAGCGUAGGCGGGCUCUUAAGUUGGAUGUUUAAAACCGGGGCCUAACCCCGGCGUGGCAUCCAAAACUGGGAGUCUUGAAUGGGACGGAGGCCAGUGGAAUUAGAGGUGUAGCGGUGGAAUGCGUAGAUAUCUCUAAGAACACCAGUUGCGAAGGCGGCUGGCUGGGUCCACAUUGACGCUGAGGCUCGAAAGCGUGGGGAGCAAACAGG
This 253-nucleotide ribosomal RNA is filed under the name uncultured bacterium. RNAcentral's name for it is "partial 16S ribosomal RNA". It matches the Rfam family "Bacterial small subunit ribosomal RNA", at positions 524 to 776 of the family's 1533-position model. The record is from RNAcentral.